RNAcentral lists this ribosomal RNA (1145 nucleotides) under Serratia quinivorans. RNAcentral's name for it is "bacterial SSU rRNA". It matches the Rfam family "Bacterial small subunit ribosomal RNA", at positions 37 to 1171 of the family's 1533-position model. Lineage: Bacteria; Pseudomonadati; Pseudomonadota; Gammaproteobacteria; Enterobacterales; Yersiniaceae. The record is from RNAcentral.
UGGCGGCAGGCCUAACACAUGCAAGUCGAGCGGUAGCACAGGAGAGCUUGCUCUCUGGGUGACGAGCGGCGGACGGGUGAGUAAUGUCUGGGAAACUGCCUGAUGGAGGGGGAUAACUACUGGAAACGGUAGCUAAUACCGCAUAACGUCUUCGGACCAAAGUGGGGGACCUUCGGGCCUCACGCCAUCAGAUGUGCCCAGAUGGGAUUAGCUAGUAGGUGGGGUAAUGGCUCACCUAGGCGACGAUCCCUAGCUGGUCUGAGAGGAUGACCAGCCACACUGGAACUGAGACACGGUCCAGACUCCUACGGGAGGCAGCAGUGGGGAAUAUUGCACAAUGGGCGCAAGCCUGAUGCAGCCAUGCCGCGUGUGUGAAGAAGGCCUUCGGGUUGUAAAGCACUUUCAGCGAGGAGGAAGGGUAGUGUGUUAAUAGCACAUUGCAUUGACGUUACUCGCAGAAGAAGCACCGGCUAACUCCGUGCCAGCAGCCGCGGUAAUACGGAGGGUGCAAGCGUUAAUCGGAAUUACUGGGCGUAAAGCGCACGCAGGCGGUUUGUUAAGUCAGAUGUGAAAUCCCCGCGCUUAACGUGGGAACUGCAUUUGAAACUGGCAAGCUAGAGUCUUGUAGAGGGGGGUAGAAUUCCAGGUGUAGCGGUGAAAUGCGUAGAGAUCUGGAGGAAUACCGGUGGCGAAGGCGGCCCCCUGGACAAAGACUGACGCUCAGGUGCGAAAGCGUGGGGAGCAAACAGGAUUAGAUACCCUGGUAGUCCACGCUGUAAACGAUGUCGACUUGGAGGUUGUGCCCUUGAGGCGUGGCUUCCGGAGCUAACGCGUUAAGUCGACCGCCUGGGGAGUACGGCCGCAAGGUUAAAACUCAAAUGAAUUGACGGGGGCCCGCACAAGCGGUGGAGCAUGUGGUUUAAUUCGAUGCAACGCGAAGAACCUUACCUACUCUUGACAUCCAGAGAAUUCGCUAGAGAUAGCUUAGUGCCUUCGGGAACUCUGAGACAGGUGCUGCAUGGCUGUCGUCAGCUCGUGUUGUGAAAUGUUGGGUUAAGUCCCGCAACGAGCGCAACCCUUAUCCUUUGUUGCCAGCACGUAAUGGUGGGAACUCAAAGGAGACUGCCGGUGAUAAACCGGAGGAA